RNAcentral lists this ribosomal RNA (237 nucleotides) under uncultured bacterium. Its description in RNAcentral is "partial 16S ribosomal RNA". It matches the Rfam family "Bacterial small subunit ribosomal RNA", at positions 99 to 334 of the family's 1533-position model. The record is from RNAcentral.
CGAACGGGUGAGUAACGCGUGAGGAACCUGCCUCAAAGAGGGGGACAACAGUUGGAAACGACUGCUAAUACCGCAUAAGCCCACGGGUCGGCAUCGACCUGAGGGAAAAGGAGCAAUCCGCUUUGAGAUGGCCUCGCGUCUGAUUAGCUAGUUGGUGAGGUAACGGCCCACCAAGGCGACGAUCGGUAGCCGGACUGAGAGGUUGAACGGCCACAUUGGGACUGAGACACGGCCCAG